Molecule: ribosomal RNA, 372 nt
Filed under: uncultured organism
Description: bacterial SSU rRNA
Rfam family: Bacterial small subunit ribosomal RNA
Source: RNAcentral
CGUAGGGUCCGAGCGUUGUCCAGAAUUAUUGGGCGUAAAGGGCUCGUAGGCGGUUAGUCACGUCGGGAGUGAAAACUCAGGGCUCAACCCUGAGCGUGCUUCCGAUACGGGCUGACUAGAGGUAUGCAGGGGAGAACGGAAUUCCUGGUGUAGCGGUGGAAUGCGCAGAUAUCAGGAGGAACACCGGUGGCGAAGGCGGUUCUCUGGGCAUUACCUGACGCUGAGGAGCGAAAGCAUGGGGAGCGAACAGGAUUAGAUACCCUGGUAGUCCAUGCCGUAAACGUUGGGCGCUAGGUGUGGGGUCCUUCCACGGAUUCCGUGCCGCAGCUAACGCAUUAAGCGCCCCGCCUGGGGAGUACGGCCGCAAGGCUA